GCAAGGGUGCUCCGCCAUGCGCGGAGUGAAAAGGGAAAGCGGUUAAAUGCCGCUGCAGCCCCCGCUACUGUAUGGCGGACGAGGGCGGCGAGCCACUGGCGCAAGCCGGGAAGGGCCGCCUGAGGAUGAUGCCGAGCCAGGAGACCUGCCCGUGCGGCU
This 159-nucleotide non-coding RNA is filed under the name human gut metagenome. The record is from RNAcentral.